RNAcentral lists this unclassified non-coding RNA (1101 nucleotides) under Hevea brasiliensis (rubber tree). Lineage: Eukaryota; Viridiplantae; Streptophyta; Magnoliopsida; Malpighiales; Euphorbiaceae. The record is from RNAcentral.
GUUUCCUCUUAACAAUGGCAGCGCCAGCGGCACCAAUCGAGUCCGUCCAAUGCUUCGGCCGCAAGAAGACCGCUGUGGCCGUCACCUACUGCAAGCGUGGGAGAGGCCUAAUCAAGAUCAACGGUUGCCCAAUCGAGCUGGUUGAGCCCGAGAUCCUCCGUUUCAAGGCGUACGAGCCCAUCCUCCUCCUUGGACGACAUCGUUUUGCGGGAGUCGACAUGCGUAUUCGCGUCAAGGGCGGUGGGCACACCUCCCAGAUCUAUGCCAUCCGCCAGAGCAUAGCUAAAGCUCUCGUCGCCUUCUAUCAGAAGUACGUGGACGAGCAGAGCAAAAAGGAGAUCAAAGACAUUUUGGUCAGGUACGAUAGGACUUUGCUUGUAGCUGAUCCUAGGCGCUGUGAGCCUAAGAAGUUCGGUGGUCGUGGUGCUCGUGCCAGGUUCCAGAAGAGUUACCGUUGAGUUGGAUAUUUAUGCUCUAUGCUUAUGUGAUUUUGAAGAAUGUUUUGAGGUUUAUAUAUUGAGAUUUGAGAAGUAGAAUGUUAAUGGGUUUUUGUUAAUGUUGGUUUGUGAAGGGGUUUCUCUUCAUAGACUAAGUUCUUAAUUUUGUUGUCAGGAUAAUUUAAUCUUCAUAGCUAGUUGAUUAAACGUAUUAUAUUCACUUGUUGAAUGUUUUGCAAGAUACUGUUUGUGCAUGUUACUCUUCUCCACAUUGGCCUUGAUCAAAGGCAAUUCUUCUGUUCUACUUGUGGUUUUCUGACUUUUGAUUCCUGUAUAUUAGUGGGUUUUGUUUUCUAUUUUCAAGUUAACUUUGAUGUUUUAAAUUUAAUUGUUUUCCAUUGGAAUCUUUGUGCUACUUUAUGCUCAGUUGGUUCUUUAAUGUGUUAAAGCUUGAGUAACUGGUUGUGUAUAUUUGGUGGAUUGUUAUUAUUAUGUUGGGAAGUGUUUGGUUUUUGAGCUGCAGGGAUCUGGUUUGGUCAUACCUUGCUUUAAUAUAGUGAACGAGCCAUUUACACUUUCACACUUUGAUAGGGAUUAUGGGUGCUCUUUUACUCAUUUUUGUUACGCUAGUUUGUUUCUUAUAGAGGAUUGUUUUGCUUCUGUG